UGCUGCUAGAUGGUGAAUC
RNAcentral lists this microRNA (19 nucleotides) under Schmidtea mediterranea. Its description in RNAcentral is "sme-miR-133b-5p". Its record names the gene sme-miR-133b-5p. The record is from miRBase by way of RNAcentral. Lineage: Eukaryota; Metazoa; Platyhelminthes; Tricladida; Dugesiidae.